RNAcentral lists this long non-coding RNA (319 nucleotides) under Gossypium raimondii (Peruvian cotton). RNAcentral describes it as "long non-coding RNA (GRAI_LNC003585)". The record is from RNAcentral. Lineage: Eukaryota; Viridiplantae; Streptophyta; Magnoliopsida; Malvales; Malvaceae.
AACACGGGCCAUAUACACGAUUGUGUCCUCUUUUCAAGACUAGGGUUUUCAAUUUUUGUCUCUAUUGUCGUUUCACCAAAACCCAGCCUCUACACCACCAUUCUCCCCCUUUCCAUUGUCGGUUCCGAUUUUCUUUCCCUCCCUCCCUGUACCUCUUCUCAUCACUCUCGAAGCACCACAUAGCGUCGACCAUCAUUUCCCUCACCAAUCCUUACACACGUCAACCCCUCCAUCAUUUUUUUCUCCCCCGAUCAACCUUCUCCUUGGUCUUCUUUCCCCAUCGCCACUAAAGACCCCACCAAUAGUCACGUAUUUCUUU